GGAGGAAUGGCCGAGUGGUCGAUGGCGGUAGUCUUGAAAACUAUUGUACAGCACUGUACCGGGGGUGCGAAUCCCUCUUCCUCCG
Molecule: transfer RNA, 85 nt
Filed under: Bacteroidales bacterium
Lineage: Bacteria; Pseudomonadati; Bacteroidota; Bacteroidia; Bacteroidales
Description: tRNA-Ser
Rfam family: tRNA
About the family: Transfer RNA (tRNA) molecules are approximately 80 nucleotides in length. Their secondary structure includes four short double-helical elements and three loops (D, anti-codon, and T loops).
Source: RNAcentral